GAUGUUGUCACCAGUUUGUAAUGAGGUAGGAUGUUGCCACCAGUGGGUAAUGAGGUAGGAUGUUGCCACCAACGGGUAAUAAGGUAGGAUGAUGUCACCAGCGGGUAAUGAGGUAGGAUGUCGCCACCAGUCUGUAAUGAGGUAGGAUGUCACCACCAGCGGGUAAUGAGGUAGGAUGUCGCCACCAGUGGGUAAUGAGGUAGGAUGUUGUCACCAGCGGGUAAUGAGGUAGGAUGUUUCCACCAGUUUGUAAUGAGGUAGGAUGUUGGCACCAGUGGGUAAUGAGGUAGGAUGUUGUCACCAGCGGGUAAUGAGGUAGGAUGUUGCCACCAGUGGAUAAUGAGGUAGGAUGUUGACAACAGUUUGUAAUGAGGUAGGAUGUUGCCACCAGUGGGUAACGAGGUAGGAUGUUGUCACCAGUGGGUAAUGAGGUAGGAUGUUACCACCAGUGUAUAAUGAGGUAGGAUGUUGCCACCAGCGGGUGAUGAGGUAGGAUGUUGUCACCAGUGGGUAAUGAGGUAGGAUGACGCAACCAGCGGGUAAUGAGGUAGGAUGUUGUCACCAGUGGGUAAUGAGGUAGGAUGACGCCACCAGCGGGUAUUGAGGUAGGAUGUUGUCACCAGCAGGUAAUGUAGUAGAAAACACAAUAGCCUGGAUCCCUUUAAGUAGUAGAAAACACAUGACAGACAUGGAGCAAAUCUGACAUUUGAACACUAGCAAUGACAUCAGACCUAACACAAUCUGUGUCACACACACACACACACACACACACAACCACACACACACACACACACACAAACGCCCCAUGACUCCGUGACUCCCUUUCUGAUCUGGCAAAAUCGAC
Molecule: long non-coding RNA, 844 nt
Organism: Oncorhynchus tshawytscha (Chinook salmon)
Lineage: Eukaryota; Metazoa; Chordata; Actinopteri; Salmoniformes; Salmonidae
Source: Ensembl